This is a small nuclear RNA of Nycticebus coucang (slow loris), 107 nucleotides long. The record is from RefSeq and is a predicted model, not a curated record. NCBI's taxonomy places the organism in Eukaryota, Metazoa, Chordata, Mammalia, Primates, Lorisidae.
GUGCUUUCUUCGGCAGCACAUACACUAAAAUUGGAAUGAUGCAGAGAAGAUUGGCAUGGCCCCUGUGCAAGGAUGACAUGCAAAUUUGUGAAGUGUUCCAUAUUUUU